UCAUCAGGAGGUUAAUUCUUACCUGUUCCUCCUCUCAGAUGGCAGAUAGAAAAUGAUGAUCCGGAGCUUGCAUGAUAUGCUGAUUAGCAUUUCCGUGUAACCAGGACCUGACAACAUCCUGGUUGCUCCUAUCUAAU
Peromyscus californicus insignis is the source of this 137-nucleotide small nucleolar RNA. RefSeq annotates it as U8 small nucleolar RNA. Lineage: Eukaryota; Metazoa; Chordata; Mammalia; Rodentia; Cricetidae. The transcript has a single exon. The record is from RefSeq and is a predicted model, not a curated record.